AUUUAGUCUUUGUGAUGUUAGUGGUUAAUGUUCCCUGCUGGAUGUUCCUGUUCAAGUAGCAGUAGAGACAGGCGGUCAGAGAGAGGCAGCAGAGACAGGCGGUCAGAGAGAGGCAGCAGAGACAGGCGGUCAGAGAGAGGCAGCAGAGAGGCAGUCUAAGAGAGGCAGCAGAGAGGCAGUCUAAGAGAGGCAGCAACUGCAGCAGAGAGAGGCAGUCUGAGAGAGGCAUCAGAGAGGCAGCAACGGCAGCAGAGAGAGGCAGUCUGAGAGAGGCAGCAGAGAGGCAGUCUAAGAGAGGCAGCAACUGCAGCAGAGAGAGGCAGCCUGAGAGAGGCAGUCUGAGAGAACCAGCAAUGGCAGCAGCCUAACAGAGAUGUUGUGGUUAUGGCCUCAUAAAGACAGGAGCUACCCGCCUCUUUAACAGUAAAUUAAAGACACAGACACUUUGAUGUUCAGAUCUCACUUACAGUACUUCCUAUAUAUAGCCUUGUGAGUGAGCCUUUCUCUCUUUUAUUCUGUCUCUCUCUUCUAUUCUACCUACAGUCAAAUUGCUCCAUCUGUACCUGACGUGAUGCUCCCAUACCUCCCACAGGAGGAGGACUUUAUAGUGAGUGGUUCCUGAUCCAAGUCACACACUGGCCUCCCAGGCCUCAGUGCUACAAAAACCCCACUAAGCUCUCUCCAGACCAAUCAGAGCACAGCAGUGCCAAAGGCCAUGGGGUUCAAUCACUUCUGUUACAAUGAGGUUUUUCCUUUUUACAAAUACAUUAGUAAUACCAUAUCUUAUGCAUUCAGUGUUCAAAGUAUGACACCUGCCAUUAGAAAAUACAUAGUCAGGAAAUCAUCACCUAGUCUAUAUAGGUGCUAUGAGUCAAUUUCCAAACAGCCCAUAUUGUCAGUACAGAAUCAGUUGUCCCUAAAUUAGAUAUAUACAGUAUUUUGUCGAGUGUUGUUGUUUGUGAAAUGGACAUGAGUUCAGCAAGCCAGUGGCUAUUCAUCUUGAUGAGAUAGCAGUUAACUGAGGGCUAAGCUGCUGGGCCAGGGAGCCAUAACACUCGCUCGAAUCCUAAUAAUCCUAACUUGAUUUCCAGGAAUACAUUUCGCCCUCUCUCAGUGAAGCCUUAAUUAGUUUUAUUUGAAUGUAUUCCAGAUAACGAUCAGACUUUGGUGAACACACAGCGUUUGUCAGGAAAGAGAAAUCAACCACACAGCCAAAGUUAUCAAAGCUUGAAAUCAGGAAUCCUGACUGCAACAAAAUGUCAUCUUUUUCAUACAGAGGGGACAAUAGAAGGAGCUGAAUUCUCUACAUCUCCUUCUCUCUCCUCCACUUUAAUUAAAAGAGCUCUCUGAAUCUCUCAUUUCUCUCCCUCUCCCACUUUUGUACUCUCUCUCUCUCUCUCUCUCUCUUUCUCUCUCUCUCUCUCUCUUUCUCUCUCUCCCUCUUUCUUUCUUUCUUUCUCAUUCUAUAUUUUCUAUGUCAUAGAGGUUACAUAAUUCAGGGAAAGAGAGAGAUGAUGUUUGAUAGAAUGUCAUACCUUUAGAAUAAACAUUGGGC
This is a long non-coding RNA of Oncorhynchus tshawytscha (Chinook salmon), 1555 nucleotides long. The record is from Ensembl. Lineage: Eukaryota; Metazoa; Chordata; Actinopteri; Salmoniformes; Salmonidae.